RNAcentral lists this transfer RNA (66 nucleotides) under Iridona iridescens. RNAcentral's name for it is "Moerella iridescens tRNA-Leu". The record is from RNAcentral. Lineage: Eukaryota; Metazoa; Mollusca; Bivalvia; Cardiida; Tellinidae.
GUCAGGGUAGUAGAAAAAAUAUAUAAGAUUUAGGAUCUUAUGGUAAGAUGAAGUUCUUUCUUGAUG